This 1109-nucleotide long non-coding RNA is filed under the name Vigna radiata. RNAcentral's name for it is "long non-coding RNA (VRAD_LNC017915)". The record is from RNAcentral. Lineage: Eukaryota; Viridiplantae; Streptophyta; Magnoliopsida; Fabales; Fabaceae.
AGAAAAGGAUGGGAACUGAAAUGACUAGAGAAAUGUGAAAAAGAAGGGAGAAAACUAGAACUCAGUGCAGUAGUUUCUCAAAAUUUGGCCAACCUACAAAUUUUUCCUUUUUCUCUGGUUCUCUUCCCCAGAAAUUCUUUUCAAGUCUCUUUUUCAAUUUCUUUUUCUGAUCUUUUUCUCAUUUUCAGACUUGUUCAUUCUUUUCAGCACAACUAAAUUUUUCUCACAUCAUUUUUCUUUUCUUUUCACCUCUGGCCUCAUUAGUUUUCAUGCAUUCACCAAGUUCUAGACCUCUCCCUACAUCUCACAAGUCUCUAAGGAAUGAUUGGUUGGGGGGAAAUGGCUUGAAAUGGAUGGAAACAAGAAAAGAAAAUAGGCUAAGAUUCAAAAUAAGGUGCAAUGGUAAGAAAAUAAAAUGGGUAAGCUAAAAUGGAAAAGCGAAGGAUGCCUAGAUCAUAUUCAAAGUUACCAAGAGCAAAAACAUCAAUAAAGAUUCAAUGCAAAAUCAGAAUGAUAAUUAAACAUGUAUGUAUUACACAAGAAAGACAAAAACUGGCCCAAAAUCUCUCAAGGGUUUAAGAAUUUGUUAAAACUGACUUGCUACUCAUCCUAUGCAAAAAUUACUGAAUUGAAAUGAACUAGAGACUGAAAAAUCAAUGCUAGAACUACCUCUGCCUAAAUCUAAAGCUAAGUCUACUUUUGACAACUCUAAUCUAAGGAAAUGAUGCUAAAACUUGAAUGAAUUCAGAAAAGAAUGAAGAUAAGCAUAAAACACAACCUAAAAGCACCUAAAAGAGCCCAACAGAAUUACCUAGACUAUAUACAACAUAGACAACAAAAACAAAACAGUGCAAUUAGAAUUUUCUCAUAGUAAACAACUCCUAAUUAAAGCUUAUAAGAAGGAAAGAAACAAUAAAAGGAAAAAGAAACAAUCAAGUACCAUUUAACAAACAAUCGCAUUAGAAUUUUCUCAUGGUAAACAAUAAGAUUUCAGAACAAAAUCAAGCAACUAUACCACAACGCAACAAUUUCAACAAGCUCAAAUACACAAAUUCAACAACUCAAUCUAUUUAGACAGGUCGUGGCAACCAAAAGUGAUUGCAAUUUCU